This 119-nucleotide ribosomal RNA is filed under the name Sinocyclocheilus anshuiensis. The record is from RNAcentral. Lineage: Eukaryota; Metazoa; Chordata; Actinopteri; Cypriniformes; Cyprinidae.
AGCAGUAGCCAUAUCACCCUGUAGCCCAAGACUGGUUGCCAACUGAAGCUAAGCAGGGUUGAGCCUGGUCGGUACAUGGAUUGCAGACCUGCUGGGAAAACUAUAGGUUGCUGCUGGAA